CAGCAUGGAGAGCAGAGCGCAAAGAUUUCCUCCAGACUCCCACAUUCUCCCUUGGAAUCCAAGAACUUGUCUACUAUCACAACACUUUAGUACCCACUUCUCCUAAGGAGGCAGCAGAAACCAAGGUAAUCACAAUGGUCAACAGCAGCGAAGGCAGCACUUUCUGAUUUUAAACUUGACUGCUAUGGAUGCCACCUCAGUUUAAUAUCUAGGCAUCCUGGAUGCUACUUGAAGCCUGCAGCCCUGACUCCUGGGCUGGGAGGUGGGCAAGGACUUGUAUUUUGUAGCUCUGCUGAGAGGGAACAGCUGUCCAUUGGUGGCAGGACUGACACCUCCCAG
This 339-nucleotide non-coding RNA is filed under the name Pongo abelii (Sumatran orangutan). The record is from RNAcentral. Lineage: Eukaryota; Metazoa; Chordata; Mammalia; Primates; Hominidae.